RNAcentral lists this ribosomal RNA (403 nucleotides) under Metopograpsus oceanicus. RNAcentral describes it as "partial 12S ribosomal RNA". Lineage: Eukaryota; Metazoa; Arthropoda; Malacostraca; Decapoda; Grapsidae. The record is from RNAcentral.
UUUAAAUUUGAAUAUAAUAAGCUCUGGAUAAGUAGUAGAUAGAUACUUAAAAGUUAAAAAAUUUGGCGGUGAUUUAAUCUUUUCAGAGGAACUUGUUUUUUAAUCGAUAAACCACGUUUGAUCUUACUUAUUUUAGUAUAACCAGCAUGUAUACCAUCAUUAACAGGUAAUUUUUAAAGAAAAAAUUACUAAAAAUAAUUGAUUAAGAAAAUUAGAUCAUGGUGCAGCUCAUAAAUAAGUUAAAAUGAGUUACAAUAAAGUUUUUUAUAUGAAUUAGUAGAGGAAAUAUUUACUAUAAAGGUGGAUUUGAUUGUAAGUGUGGAUUAAUAAGCUUAUCUGAUAUUGGUGCUAAAUCAUGUACAUAUCGCCCGUCGCUUUCGCUAAACGAAAUAAGUCGUACAUA